UACGUAGGUGGCAAGCGUUGUCCGGAUUUACUGGGCGUAAAGCGCGCGCAGGCGGAUUGGUCAGUCCGGGUGAAAUCUCACGGCUCAACUGUGAGCGGUCCCCGGAUACUGCCAGUCUCGAGGUGUCUAGAGGAGAGCGGAAUUCCCGGUGUAGUGGUGGAAUGCGUAGAUAUCGGGAAGAACACCAGUGGCGAAGCGGACUCUCGUGGGACCACCUAGACGGCUGAGGCGCGGAACGUGGGAGCGAA
This 248-nucleotide ribosomal RNA is filed under the name uncultured bacterium. Its description in RNAcentral is "partial 16S ribosomal RNA". It matches the Rfam family "Bacterial small subunit ribosomal RNA", at positions 524 to 772 of the family's 1533-position model. The record is from RNAcentral.